Molecule: ribosomal RNA, 397 nt
Filed under: uncultured bacterium
Lineage: Bacteria
Description: bacterial SSU rRNA
Rfam family: Bacterial small subunit ribosomal RNA
Source: RNAcentral
AACGAACGCUGGCGGCGCGUCUUAAACAUGCAAGUCGAACGAUCUGUAGCAAUACAGGGAGUGGCGGACGGGUGAGGAACACGUAGGAAUCUACCUUGAAGAGCGGGACAACUUUGGGAAACCGGGGCUAAUACCGCAUAGUACAGAGAUGUUAAAGGGCUAGCAAUAGUCGCUUCGAGAUGAGCCUGCGGUCUAUCAGCUUGUUGGUGAGGUAAUGGCUCACCAAGGCUACGACGGAUAGCCGGUCUGAGAGGAUGAUCGGCCACACUGGCACUGAGACACGGGCCAGACUCCUACGGGAGGCAGCAGUUAAGAAUCUUGCGCAAUGGGGGAAACCCUGACGCAGCGACGCUGCGUGAAGGAUGAAGGCUUUCGGGUUGUAAACUUCGGUAGUACU